GACGAACGCUGGCGGCGUGCCUAAUACAUGCAAGUAGAACGCUGAAGGAGGAGCUUGCUCUUCUGGAUGAUUUGCGAACGGGUGAGUAACGCGUAGGUAACCUGCCUGGUAGCGGGGGAUAACUAUUGGAAACGAUAGCUAAUACCGCAUAACAGUAGAUGUUGCAUGACAUUUACUUAAAAGGUGCAAUUUCAUCACUACCAGAUGGACCUGCGUUGUAUUAGCUAGUUGGUGGGGUAACGGCUCACCAAGGCGACGAUACAUAGCCGACCUGGGAGGGUGAUUGGCCAAAAUGGGAAUGAGACACGGCCCAGAACCCUACGGGAGGCAGCAGUAGGGAAUCUUCGGCAAUGGACGGAAGUCUGACCGAGCAAAGCCGGCGGAGGGAAGAAGGUUUUCGGAUCGUAAAGAUCCGUUGUAAGAGAAGAACGAGUGUGAGAGUGGAAAGUUCACACUGUGACGGUAUCUUACCAGAAAGGGACGGCUAACUACGUG
This 495-nucleotide ribosomal RNA is filed under the name uncultured bacterium. RNAcentral's name for it is "partial 16S ribosomal RNA". It matches the Rfam family "Bacterial small subunit ribosomal RNA", at positions 28 to 507 of the family's 1533-position model. The record is from RNAcentral.